AUUGAACGCUGGCGGAAUGCUUUACACAUGCAAGUCGAACGGCAGCACGGACUUCGGUCUGGUGGCGAGUGGCGAACGGGUGAGUAAUGUAUCGGAACGUGCCCAGUCGUGGGGGAUAACGUAGUGAGAAUUACGCUAAUACCGCAUACGAUCUAUGGAUGAAAGCGGGGGAUCGCAAGACCUCGCGCGAUUGGAGCGGCCGAUAUCAGAUUAGGUAGUUGGUGGGGUAAAGGCCCACCAAGCCAACGAUCUGUAGCUGGUCUGAGAGGACGACCAGCCAAACUGGAACGGAUACACGGUCCAGACUCCUACGGGAGGCAGCAGUGGGGAAUUUUGGACAAUGGGCGAAAGCCUGAUCCAGCCAUUCCGCGUGCAGGAUGAAGGCCCUCGGGUUGUAAACUGCUUUUGUACAGAACGAAAAGGUUUCUACUAAUACUAGGAGCUCAUGACGGUACUGUAAGAAUAAGCACCGGCUAACUACGUGCCAGCCGCCGCUGUAA
This 500-nucleotide ribosomal RNA is filed under the name uncultured bacterium. RNAcentral describes it as "partial 16S ribosomal RNA". It matches the Rfam family "Bacterial small subunit ribosomal RNA", at positions 30 to 523 of the family's 1533-position model. The record is from RNAcentral.